This 207-nucleotide unclassified non-coding RNA is filed under the name Hevea brasiliensis (rubber tree). The record is from RNAcentral. Lineage: Eukaryota; Viridiplantae; Streptophyta; Magnoliopsida; Malpighiales; Euphorbiaceae.
GUCAAAAUCAACUUUUGCCCAAUCGAUGCCAUCUUGAAUAUAUUCCUCCUGCUCUAGCUUAAAUAAAUGACGAUUGAAAUGCUGCUGUAGUCUCUCGUUCGCAUAGUUAAUACAGAACUGUUCAAAACUAUUUCUAUCAAACGAUUCAAAGCCAUAAAUAUCAAGAAUGCUGAUGGAUCUGCCAGUGCGUCGUUUGCCUACAGAAAG